UCACGAGGGAGGGAGGGGAGUCACCGGUUGUCGACUCGAGAAAUGUCACUCGGUUAAUUGAAUUAUGUUUUGAAAUUGUUUUCUUUUGUAUUGGUUUACACAUAGAUUUAAUUAAUUUCGUACAAUGCGGGUUCAGUUGUAAAUUGUGCAGUUCUUCGGCAAGUUAUUGAUAAUGUGUUCCGCAGUGAUGGUAUAUCACAAAAAAAUAAAUCGAUAUAAUUUUCGUAAGAAAAUCGUCAUAUAAAACCGGCGAUCAUUUUACUUUUAUUGUUUAAAAAAACCAAUUAGUAAAAUAGGGUCGAUCAAUAGAGUGCAAUUUUAGAAUCAUAGAAGAAUAUUUAUUGGGAAUCAUGUCAUUUCGCAGUUUAGGAAAAUUAUUUAAAACAAAAAAGAAUGAUAAACAGGAGAGCAAAGAAAUCUCAUUGCCCACAGAAGGCUUCCACAAGAGUAUUCAGAUGUUGCUGGCUUAUUCGGGGCAACAUCUCACCGAAGCUGGCUUAGAAACGAGGGAAGUGUUAUUGGACAGCCCAUCCCGCUGUGGCCUCCACAGUGUGGCGGUGCUUCGCUGCCUGGGCCGCAGCCGCGGGGUCGCCGGCGCAGACCCUUUUGAAGACUUGGAGAUUGACAAGAUUGUGGAUGUUUUCAUUGACCUGUUAAACAAGAUACAAGCAGUAGGCGCAGAAGAGUUGGAUUCCCGAGCCAGUCCAUACGACGAAAAAACGGCGCUAGCGUGUCUCGCCAAACUAGACGCUGUUGUGGCCACCAACCGCGGCCACCUAGCGCUCAGCAAGGUAAACUCUGUUAUACUACUGACCCGAGUCAACCCAUUCGACGAAAAGACGGUGCUGGCGUGACUUGCUAAACUGACGCUGUCGUGGCCACCAACCGGGGCCACCUAGCGCUCAGCAAGGUAAACUCACGUUACACUAUUAUACUAAUGGCCCGAGUUAGUCCAUUCGACGAAUAGAUGGCGCUGAUGCGUCUCGGCAAACUAUAGUAUUUUUAAACUGGAAGGGUACGCUGAUAGAUGUCAAUUCAAUACAAUUUUGCAACACCUGUUCCAAUUUGAAAAAUACUAUAGAUGCUGUCGUGGCCAUCAACCGCGGCCACCUAGCGCUCAGCAAGUUAACCUGGGCGGACUUCCUGCUGGCCGGCAUGUGGGAGCACGUGCAGCGGUCGCUGGACCUGUCUAGCGACCAGUUUGCCAACAUCGACCUGCUGGUACAGCAGCUCACUGCGGUGCCGGCUGUGAAGACGGCUUUAGA
Molecule: RNA transcript, 1265 nt
Organism: Cydia pomonella (codling moth)
Lineage: Eukaryota; Metazoa; Arthropoda; Insecta; Lepidoptera; Tortricidae
Gene name: glutathione S-transferase 2-like
Exons: 5
Source: RefSeq, a predicted model, not a curated record